RNAcentral lists this ribosomal RNA (473 nucleotides) under uncultured bacterium. Its description in RNAcentral is "bacterial SSU rRNA". It matches the Rfam family "Bacterial small subunit ribosomal RNA", at positions 335 to 801 of the family's 1533-position model. The record is from RNAcentral.
ACUCCUACGGGAGGCAGCAGUAGGGAAUCUUCCACAAUGGGCGCAAGCCUGAUGGAGCAACACCGCGUGAGUGAAGAAGGGUUUCGGCUCGUAAAGCUCUGUUGUUAAAGAAGAACACGUAUGAGAGUAACUGUUCAUACGUUGACGGUAUUUAACCAGAAAGUCACGGCUAACUACGUGCCGGCAGCCGCGGUAAUACGUAGGUGGCAAGCGUUAUCCGGAUUUAUUGGGCGUAAAGAGAGUGCAGGCGGUUUUCUAAGUCUGAUGUGAAAGCCUUCGGCUUAACCGGAGAAGUGCAUCGGAAACUGGAUAACUUGAGUGCAGAAGAGGGUAGUGGAACUCCAUGUGUAGCGGUGGAAUGCGUAGAUAUAUGGAAGAACACCAGUGGCGAAGGCGGCUACCUGGUCUGCAACUGACGCUGAGACUCGAAAGCAUGGGUAGCGAACAGGAUUAGAUACCCUGGUAGGAUAGCG